This 620-nucleotide ribosomal RNA is filed under the name uncultured bacterium. RNAcentral's name for it is "bacterial SSU rRNA". It matches the Rfam family "Bacterial small subunit ribosomal RNA", at positions 438 to 1058 of the family's 1533-position model. The record is from RNAcentral.
CGAAGGCCGGCCGGUGAAUAGCCGAGUCGGUUGACGGUACCUUCAGAAGAAGCUCCGGCUAACUACGUGCCAGCAGCCGCGGUAAUACGUAGGGAGCAAGCGUUGUCCGGAAUCAUUGGGCGUAAAGCGCGCGUAGGCGGCCCGAUAAGUCCGUUGUGAAAGUCAAAGGCUCAACCUUUGAAUGCCGAUGGAUACUGUCGGGCUAGAGUCCGGAAGAGGCGAGUGGAAUUCCUGGUGUAGCGGUGGAAUGCGCAGAUAUCAGGAGGAACACCAAUAGCGAAGGCAGCUCGCUGGGACGGUACUGACGCUAAGGCGCGAAAGCGUGGGGAGCGAACAGGAUUAGAUACCCUGGUAGUCCACGCCGUAAACGAUGGGCACUAGGUGUGGGAGGUGUCGACUCCUCCCGUGCCGUCGCUAACGCACUAAGUGCCCCGCCUGGGGAGUACGGCCGCAAGGCUAAAACUCAAAGGAAUUGACGGGGGCCCGCACAAGCAGCGGAGCAUGUGGUUUAAUUCGACGCAACGCGAAGAACCUUACCUGGGCUUGACAUGUUCGUGACCGCCGUGGAAACACGGUUUUCCUUCGGGACACGAUCACAGGUGGUGCAUGGCUGUCGUCAG